GCGGCUGUGGUCCAGCGGCUAUGACAGGGGCUUCCCAAGCCUCUAACCCGGGUUCGAUUCCCGGCAGCCGCAC
RNAcentral lists this transfer RNA (73 nucleotides) under uncultured archaeon. RNAcentral describes it as "tRNA-Gly(ccc)". It matches the Rfam family "tRNA". From Rfam's summary of the family: Transfer RNA (tRNA) molecules are approximately 80 nucleotides in length. Their secondary structure includes four short double-helical elements and three loops (D, anti-codon, and T loops). The record is from RNAcentral.